This 903-nucleotide long non-coding RNA is filed under the name Homo sapiens (human). RNAcentral describes it as "HSALNT0370270". Lineage: Eukaryota; Metazoa; Chordata; Mammalia; Primates; Hominidae. The record is from RNAcentral.
GGACCAUAUCUCCUGGGCUAUGUUUUGCUCAAAGAGGCCUCUAUACUCCUCCUUCCCAGUCCAGGCUGCAGAGACCAUGGAGCCCAGGGUACAGGAGGGAGAGCCCAAAUGUCAGAAUGCACCCAUGUCUGAGGUCAUCCUUCCUUUGAAAUACCUGCCACGAUGACUGCAGCUCCUGCAGGUUUCCCUCCCCAGGUCCCGUGGGAAGAUGUCCGUUAUCUCUUUGAUGAGAUCAUGUAUGGAGGCCACAUCACAGAUGACGGGGAUUGCAAACUGUGUCGGGUGUAUUUAGAAGAAUUCAUGAAUCCAUCUCUGAAGCUAGCUGCCCUGUCAGGAACACAUGCAUGUGGUGAAAAACCGAGACUUCCAGCCAACAGCCAUGUGAGCGAGCCAUCUUGGAAGUGGAUCCUCCAGCCCCAGUCAAGCCUUCAGAUGACUGCAGCUUUGGCCAACAUCUUGACUGCAACUUCCUGAGAGACCCUGAGCAAGAAUCACACCAUGAAGAUGUUCCUAGUUUUCUGAUUCUCAGAAACUGGCUGCCAUGUGAAGAAGGACAUGUUUGCUUCCACUUCUGCCACGAUUCAGUGUGAGAAUGGACUAAUACAGGGUCUGUGUUGGACAGGAAGGACAUGAAGAGAGGAAGGGCUGGUGGAGAGAAUGCAGAGUAGUCAUAAGACACGAGCCUCCUCUGAUGGUCGACUUUGCCUUGAGAACUCAGAUGACCUUGCCAGAAUCUUCUUAGAUAGCUUGGAACUCUAGAACAUUUCUACUCACCCUUCUUCCUUCUCCCAUUCACUCAAGGCCAGACCUGCAAUGUGAUCUGACAACUCCCAGCCUUACAAGGUUCUCUUCCAAUUUUCUCUCACAGGGAUUUUCCCUAAUAAAAUCAUCACACAUUUAAUC